GAUGAACGCUGGCGGCGUGCCUAAUACAUGCAAGUCGAGCGAAUGGACUAAGAGCUUGCUCUUAUGAAGUUAGCGGCGGACGGGUGAGUAACACGUGGGUAACCUGCCCAUAAGACUGGGAUAACUCCGGGAAACCGGGGCUAAUACCGGAUAACAUUUUGAACCGCAUGGUUCGAAAUUGAAAGGCGGCUUCGGCUGUCACUUAUGGAUGGACCCGCGUCGCAUUAGCUAGUUGGUGAGGUAACGGCUCACCAAGGCAACGAUGCGUAGCCGACCUGGGAGGGGGAUCGGCCACAAUGGGACUGAGACCAGGCCCAGACUCCUACGGGAGGCAGCAGUAGGGAAUCUUCCGCAAGGGACGAAAGUCUGACGGCGCAACGCCGCGUGAGUGAUGAAGGCUUUCGGGUCGUAAAACUCUGUUGUUAGGGAAGAACAAGUGCUAGUUGAAUAAGCUGGCACCUUGACGGUACCUAACCAGAAAGCCACGGCUAACUACGUGCCAGCCGCCGCCGUAA
This 515-nucleotide ribosomal RNA is filed under the name uncultured bacterium. RNAcentral's name for it is "partial 16S ribosomal RNA". It matches the Rfam family "Bacterial small subunit ribosomal RNA", at positions 28 to 523 of the family's 1533-position model. The record is from RNAcentral.